Molecule: ribosomal RNA, 253 nt
Filed under: uncultured bacterium
Lineage: Bacteria
Description: partial 16S ribosomal RNA
Rfam family: Bacterial small subunit ribosomal RNA
Source: RNAcentral
UACGGAGGGGGCAAGCGUUGUUCGGAAUUAUUGGGCGUAAAGAGUAUGUAGGCGGCUAUUUAAGUCAGACGUGCAAGCCCACGGCUCAACCGUGGAAUUGCGUUUGAAACUAUUUAGCUUGAGUUCAGGAGAGGAAGGCGGAAUUCCCAGUGUAGCGGUGAAAUGCAUUGAUAUUGGGAAGAACACCGGUGGCGAAGGCGGCCUUCUGGUCUGAUACUGACGCUGAGAUACGAAAGCCAGGGGAGCGAACGGG